GGGGGGGGGGGGGGGGGGGGCGGGGGGGGGGGGGUCGGGCGGCUGGGGGGGGCGGGCUCCUGGAUUCAGCGGCGGAGGGGUGGGUAGUGCCUAGACAUCUGCCUGGUGGGUGGGGAUAGCGUCCUGAAACGGGCUCGCGUACCGCCUCCGCCCGGCGUGCUAAAUGUGUUGCUCUUCGCCCCUCACGCUAUCAGACGACCCUAGGUCGUCUGCGCUAACUGGUGGGGUAAAGGCCUACCGAGGCGGAGAUCCGUAACGGCUCUGAGAGGAUGAUCAGUGCCACUGGGACUGAGACACGGUCCAGACUCCUACGGGAGGCAGCAGUGGGGAAUAUUGGACAACGGGCGAAAGCCUGAUACAGCCAUGCCGCGUGUGUGAAGAAGGUCUUCGGAGUGUAAAGCACUUUAAGUUGGGAGAAAGGGCAGUAAGUUAAUACCUUGCUGUUUUGACGUUACCAAGAGAAUAAGCACCGGCUAACUUCGUG
RNAcentral lists this ribosomal RNA (484 nucleotides) under uncultured bacterium. RNAcentral describes it as "partial 16S ribosomal RNA". It matches the Rfam family "Bacterial small subunit ribosomal RNA", at positions 27 to 507 of the family's 1533-position model. The record is from RNAcentral.